RNAcentral lists this ribosomal RNA (483 nucleotides) under uncultured bacterium. RNAcentral describes it as "bacterial SSU rRNA". It matches the Rfam family "Bacterial small subunit ribosomal RNA", at positions 28 to 493 of the family's 1533-position model. The record is from RNAcentral.
GACGAACGCUGGCGGCGUGCCUAAUACAUGCAAGUCGAGCGGACCAAAGGGAGCUUGCUCCUGGAGGUUAGCGGCGAACGGGUGAGUAACACGUGGGCAACCUGCCUGUAAGACUGGGAUAACAUCGAGAAAUCGGUGCUAAUACCGGAUAAUAAAAAGAACUGCAUGGUUCUUUUUUGAAAGAUGGUUUCGGCUAUCACUUACAGAUGGGCCCGCGGCGCAUUAGCUAGUUGGUGAGGUAACGGCUCACCAAGGCAACGAUGCGUAGCCGACCUGAGAGGGUGAUCGGCCACACUGGGACUGAGACACGGCCCAGACUCCUACGGGAGGCAGCAGUAGGGAAUCUUACCGCAAUGGACGAAAGUCUGACGGAGCAACGCCGCGUGAGUGAUGAAGGUUUUCGGAUCGUAAAACUCUGUUGUUAGGGAAGAACAAGUGCCGUUCGAAAGGGCGGCACCUUGACGGUACCUAACGAGAAAGCCA